This 468-nucleotide ribosomal RNA is filed under the name uncultured bacterium. RNAcentral's name for it is "partial 16S ribosomal RNA". It matches the Rfam family "Bacterial small subunit ribosomal RNA", at positions 28 to 507 of the family's 1533-position model. The record is from RNAcentral.
GACGAACGCUGGCGGCGUGCUUAACACAUGCAAGUCGAACGGAAAGGCCCUGCUUUUGUGGGGUGCUCGAGUGGCGAACGGGUGAGUAACACGUGAGUAACCUGCCCUUGACUUUGGGAUAACUUCAGGAAACUGGGGCUCAUAACGGAUAGGAGCUCCUGCUGCAUGGUUGGGGUUGGAAAGUUUCGGCGGUUGGGGAUGGACUCGCGGCUUGUCAGCUUGUUGGUGGGGUAGUGGCUUACCAAGGCUUUGACGGGUAGCCGGCCUGAGAGGGUGACCGGCCACAUUGGGACUGAGAUACGGCCCAGACUCCUACGGGAGGCAGCAGUGGGGAAUAUUGCACAAUGGGCGGAAGCCUGAUGCAGCAACGCCGCGUGCGGGAUGACGGCCUUCGGGUUGUAAACCGCUUUCGCCUGUGACGAAGCGUGAGUGACGGUAAUGGGUAAAGAAGCACCGGCUAACUACGUG